RNAcentral lists this transfer RNA (72 nucleotides) under Bacteroidota bacterium. RNAcentral describes it as "Bacteroidetes bacterium (hot springs metagenome) tRNA-Lys". It matches the Rfam family "tRNA". Rfam says of the family: Transfer RNA (tRNA) molecules are approximately 80 nucleotides in length. Their secondary structure includes four short double-helical elements and three loops (D, anti-codon, and T loops). Lineage: Bacteria; Pseudomonadati; Bacteroidota. The record is from RNAcentral. RNAcentral also lists the same sequence under 2 other names.
GUCCCCAUAGCUCAGCGGUAGAGCAGCGGAUUCUUAAUCCGCGGGUCGCAGGUUCGAAUCCUGCUGGGGACA